AACGAACGCUGGCGGCGUGGAUAAGACAUGCAAGUCGAACGGAAUUACUUUUGUAGCAAUACAGAAGUAAUUCAGUGGCGAACGGGUGCGUAACACGUGGGCAAUCUGCCGAGAAGUGGGGGAUAGCUCGCCGAAAGGCGAAUUAAUACCGCAUGUGGUGAGGGAAGACAUCUUCCUGAAUCCAAAGCCGGGGUAACCUGGCGCUUUUUGAGGAGCCCGCGGCCUAUCAGCUUGNGGUGAGGUAACGGCUCACCAAGGCUUUGACGGGUAGCUGGUCUGAGAGGACGACCAGUCACACUGGAACUGAGACACGGUCCAGACACCUACGGGUGGCAGCAGUCGAGAAUUUUUCUCAAUGGGGGAAACCCUGAAGGAGCGACGCCGCGUGGAGGAUGAAGGCUUUCGGGUUGUAAACUCCUGUCAUUUGAGAACAAGGUGCACCGG
This 444-nucleotide ribosomal RNA is filed under the name uncultured bacterium. Its description in RNAcentral is "bacterial SSU rRNA". It matches the Rfam family "Bacterial small subunit ribosomal RNA", at positions 29 to 459 of the family's 1533-position model. The record is from RNAcentral.